UACGGAGGGUGCGAGCGUUAAUCGGAAUUACUGGGCGUAAAGGGUGCGUAGGUGGUUGAAUAAGUUAUGUGUGAAAUUCCUGGGCUUAACCUGGGGUGGUCAUAUAAUACUGUUUGACUCGAGUAUGGGAGAGGGUAGUGGAAUUUCCGGUGUAGCGGUGAAAUGCGUAGAGAUCGGAAGGAACACCAGUGGCGAAGGCGGCUACCUGGCCUAAUACUGACACUGAGGCACGAAAGCGUGGGGAGCAAACAGG
This 253-nucleotide ribosomal RNA is filed under the name uncultured bacterium. RNAcentral describes it as "partial 16S ribosomal RNA". It matches the Rfam family "Bacterial small subunit ribosomal RNA", at positions 524 to 776 of the family's 1533-position model. The record is from RNAcentral.